Molecule: ribosomal RNA, 372 nt
Filed under: uncultured organism
Description: bacterial SSU rRNA
Rfam family: Bacterial small subunit ribosomal RNA
Source: RNAcentral
CGAAGGCGUCAAACGUUGUCCGGAAUAACUGGGCGUAAAGGGCGCGUAGGCGGUCGGGUAAGUGGGAUGUGAAAGCUCUGGGCUCAACCCAGGAAUUGCAUUCCUUACUGCUCGACUUGAGUUCGGUAGAGGAGGGCGGAAUUCCAGGUGUAGCGGUGAAAUGCGUAGAUAUCUGGAGGAACACCCGUGGCGAGGGCGGCUCUCUGGUCCGAUACUGACGCUGAGGCGCGAAAGCUAGGGUAGCAAACAGGAUUAGAUACCCUGGUAGUCCUAGCUGUAAACGGUGAGUACUAGGUGUUGGAGGUAUUGACCCCUUCAGUGCCGAAGCUAACGCAUUAAGUACUCCGCCUGGGAACUACGGCCGCAAGGCUG